Non-coding RNA from Cricetulus griseus (Chinese hamster), 569 nucleotides. Lineage: Eukaryota; Metazoa; Chordata; Mammalia; Rodentia; Cricetidae. The record is from RefSeq and is a predicted model, not a curated record.
AUCUUGGGAGUUGUAGUUCGGCCGGGAACACAAUGUAAACAGUGCCGGCAGAAUGUCCCCAGCCGAACUCACCCAGCUUCCUCGACGUUUCACGGAGAGAUCAGAAGAGGAGGGGGCCGCCGCGGCCGGGGAUGCUUCCCUCGAUGUUCGUGGGUGCGAGCCAAAAUUUAAAGAUUCGGGCCGGAGCGUGCGUUUGUGUCAGCGGCCAACUUAAUGCUAGGCGUCUCGUCUUGUGAAGGUUUCGGAAUUCCGAAAGCGUUAGUCAACACUUCCUCAAACAUUAACCUUCAGACUGGAUGUCAUCCAAAUGGAGACUUGGGAAGAAUGCAAAACUGGGUGGCCUUAGUGUAUUGAACCCUCUGAAACCAAACAGACAAUUAUGAAAGAAAAGUGGAAUCUCAGAGUCAAGGCCAACUGCCACCAGAGGAACAACACGAACUAGACUUUGGAUUGAAUUAUUGCCUCUGUUCUGACUCCCUGGAAAAUAUGCUAAGGGGAGAUGGUUUGGGGAAGGCAAAGUCCCUCCCAGACUGCCAGCUCUCUGAGUAAAGUACUUCUUAAAGAUUUGA